RNAcentral lists this ribosomal RNA (1234 nucleotides) under metagenome. RNAcentral describes it as "bacterial LSU rRNA". It matches the Rfam family "Bacterial large subunit ribosomal RNA", at positions 1564 to 2808 of the family's 2925-position model. The record is from RNAcentral.
UGAAUACGAGACGCUAAGGCGUCGAAGUAGUGUAUGUCAUACUUCCAAGAAAAGCUUGCACUGUCAUAGAUAAAAAACGCCUGUACCAUAACCGACACAGGUGGGUAGGUAGAGUAUACUAAGGGGCGCGAGAUAACUCUCUCUAAGGAACUCGGCAAAAUAACUCCGUAACUUCGGGAGAAGGAGUGCCUUAUUCGUAAGGUUGCAAUAACAAGAUCCAAGCAACUGUUUAUCAAAAACACAGGUCUCCGCUAAGUCGUAAGACGAUGUAUGGGGGCUGACGCCUGCCCAGUGCCAGAAGGUUAAAGAAGUUGGUUAGCAAUUGCGAAGCUGAUAACUGAAGCCCUGGUGAACGGCGGCCGUAACGAUAACGGUCCUAAGGUAGCGAAAUUCCUUGUCGGGUAAGUUCCGACCCGCACGAAAGGCGUAAUGAUUUGGAUACUGUCUCGGAGAGGGGCUCGGUGAAAUAGACUUGUCUGUGAAGAUACGGACUACCUGCACCAGGACAGAAAGACCCUAUGAAGCUUUACUGUAACUUGAAAUUGAAAUUGGACUUUAUUCGCGCAGCAUAGGUGGGAGGCGUUGAUUAUAAUCUUGCGGGAUUAUUGGAGCCAUCAGUGAGAUACCACUCUUGUAAUGUUAGAUUUCUAACUUUGAAUCAUUAUCUGGUCAAAGAACAGUUUCAGGCGGGCAGUUUGACUGGGGCGGUCGCCUCCUAAACGGUAACGGAGGCGUACAAAGGUUUCCUCUGAACGGUUAGAAAUCGUAUCUAGAGUGUAAAGGCAUAAGGAAGCUUGACUGUGAGACCUACAAGUCGAGCAGGGACGAAAGUCGGUCUUAGUGAUCUGACGGUACUGAGUGGAAAGGCCGUCACUCAACGGAUAAAAGUUACUCUAGGAUAACAGGCUGACCUCCCCCAAGAGUUCACAUCGACGGGGAGGUUUGGCACCUCGAUGUCGGCUCAUCGCAUCCUGGGGCGGUAGUACGUCCCAAGGGUUGGGCUGUUCGCCCAUGAAAGCGGUACGCGAGCUGGGUUCAGAACGUCGUGAGACAGUUCGGUCCAUAUCCGGUGUAGGCGUUAGAAUAUUGAGAGGAGCCUUCUUUAGUACGAGAGGACCGAGAAGGACAUACCUCUGGUGUACCAGUUAUCGUGCCAACGGUAAACGCUGGGUAGCUAUGUAUGGAGUGGAUAACCGCUGAAAGCAUCUAAGUGGGAAGCCCACCUCAAGAUAAG